AUGUGAUCGUCUCUCGCAUAUCAAUAAGCGGAGGAAAAGAAACUAACAAGGAUUCCCCUAGUAACGGCGAGUGAAGCGGGAAGAGCUCAAAUUUGAAAUCUUAAAGGGUUUCCCUUUACGAAUUGUAGUUUAAAGAAGUGUUUUCUGUUGAGGUUUUGGUAAAAGUUCUUUGGAAUAGGACAUCAUAGAGGGUGAGAAUCCCGUAUUUGACCUUUACUUUCAACUUUGUGAUACACUUUCAAAGAGUCGGAUUGUUUGGGAAUGCAGUCCAAAAUGGGUGGUAAAUUUCAUCUAAAGCUAAAUAUUGGCGAGAGACCGAUAGCGAACAAGUACCGUGAGGGAAAGAUGGAAAGAACUUUGAAAAGAGAGUUAAACAGUACGUGAAAUUGUCAAAAGGGAAGCGUUUGACACCAGUGUUGUUUUUCUGAAAAUCAAUUAAAGAACUGUUUAUGCUAAGCUGUUUAGACUUUAUCAGCUAACUGUUUAGUUUUGAGCUUUUCUUUAAUGCACUUUUCAGUUAACAAGUCAACAUCAAUUUCUUUUGCUGUAAAAAAGCUUGAGGAAGGUGGCUUGAGAUUCGUCUUAAGUGUUUAUAGCCUCUUGCCUAUGCAGUCGGAGAGAUUGAGGUCUGCAGCGUAGAUCCUUCGGGGCUAAAUGCAUUUGUGCUAAGUUAUAGCACUUUAUAGACAACUUGUUGACUAUGAUUUGUCUUGUAGCUUACUCGCUUAUGUUAUUUUACCUACGCUUAGGAUGUUGAUCUACAGAGCGAGAGU
Molecule: ribosomal RNA, 773 nt
Filed under: uncultured Neocallimastigales
Lineage: Eukaryota; Fungi; Neocallimastigomycota; Neocallimastigomycetes; Neocallimastigales
Description: partial large subunit ribosomal RNA
Rfam family: Eukaryotic large subunit ribosomal RNA
Source: RNAcentral